Molecule: ribosomal RNA, 271 nt
Filed under: uncultured bacterium
Lineage: Bacteria
Description: partial 16S ribosomal RNA
Rfam family: Bacterial small subunit ribosomal RNA
Source: RNAcentral
CCGAGCUUGCUUGGGAGAGUAAAGUGGCGCACGGGUGAGUAACGCGUAGGCAACCUACCUUUAAGUUUGGAAUAAUCUCGGGAAACUGGGACUAAUACCGAAUAAGGUAUUCAUGCAUAAGUGUGGAUAUUAAAGUGGCUUCGGCCACGCUUUUGGAUGGGCCUGCGUCUGAUUAGCUUGUUGGUGAGGUAAUGGCUUACCAAGGCUACGAUCAGUAGCUGGUCUGAGAGGAUGAUCAGCCACACUGGGACUGAGAUACGGCCCAGACUCC